This 321-nucleotide ribosomal RNA is filed under the name uncultured Bacteroidales bacterium. RNAcentral's name for it is "partial 16S ribosomal RNA". The record is from RNAcentral. Lineage: Bacteria; Pseudomonadati; Bacteroidota; Bacteroidia; Bacteroidales.
GGAGUCUGGUCCGUGUCUCAGUACCAGUGUGGGGGACCUUCCUCUCAGAACCCCUACGCAUCGUCGCCUUGGUGGGCCGUUACCCCGCCAACCAGCUAAUGCGCCGCAUGCCCAUCCCGGACCGACGGAUCUUUCACCCUAAGGACAUGCGUCCUCAGGGCAUAUGGGGUAUUAGACCCAGUUUCCCGGGUUUAUCCCCCUGUCCGGGGCAGGUCGCAUACGUGUUACUCACCAGUGCGCCGGUCGUCGCCCAGCAAAAGCAAGCUUUCGCUGUCGUUACCCCUCGACUUGCAUGUGUUAAGCCUGUAGCUAGCGUUCAUC